Molecule: ribosomal RNA, 497 nt
Filed under: uncultured bacterium
Lineage: Bacteria
Description: partial 16S ribosomal RNA
Rfam family: Bacterial small subunit ribosomal RNA
Source: RNAcentral
GACGAACGCUGGCGGCGUGCCUAAUACAUGCAAGUUGAGCGCUGAAGGUUGGUACUUGUACCAACUGGAUGAGCAGCGAACGGGUGAGUAACGCGUGGGGAAUCUGCCUUUGAGCGGGGGACAACAUUUGGAAACGAAUGCUGAUACCGCAUAAAAACUUUAAACACAAGUUUUAAGUUUGAAAGAUGCAAUUGCAUCACUCAAAGAUGAUCCCGCGUUGUAUUAGCUAGUUGGUGAGGUAAAGGCUCACCAAGGCGAUGAUACGUAGCCGACCUGAGAGGGUGAUCGGCCACAUUGGGACUGAGACACGGCCCAAACUCCUACGGGAGGCAGCAGUAGGGAAUCUUCGGCAAUGGACGAAAGUCUGACCGAGCAACGCCGCGUGAGUGAAGAAGGUUUUCGGAUCGUAAAACUCUGUUGGUAGAGAAGAACGUUGGUGAGAGUGGAAAGCUCAUCAAGUGACGGUAACUACCCAGAAAGGGACGGCUAACUACGUG